This 231-nucleotide long non-coding RNA is filed under the name Elaeis guineensis (African oil palm). RNAcentral describes it as "long non-coding RNA (EGUI_LNC036238)". The record is from RNAcentral. Lineage: Eukaryota; Viridiplantae; Streptophyta; Magnoliopsida; Arecales; Arecaceae.
GGCAAAAAUCUUAGAGAAUAGGCCGUUGGUGCGGCCCUAGUCGGUGAGAUGAUAGUCAUUUGCAUAUGUCGUGGUAUGGUGGAGUUCUCCCUACUCUUUGAUAAUUUGUGGGGUCUCUUCGAUUGGAUGCGAGAGAUAUCAGUAGGCGUCACUGCUCCAAUCAUGCGGUCAUGAUCGAGGCAAACUGUGAAGUUUCAACCAUUCCAACAUCGAGCUGCUAAUGUUCCAACC